This 451-nucleotide ribosomal RNA is filed under the name uncultured bacterium. RNAcentral describes it as "partial 16S ribosomal RNA". It matches the Rfam family "Bacterial small subunit ribosomal RNA", at positions 354 to 796 of the family's 1533-position model. The record is from RNAcentral.
GUGGGGAAUAUUGGACAAUGGGGGGAACCCUGAUCCAGCCAUGCCGCGUGUGUGAAGAAGGCCUUUUGGUUGUAAAGCACUUUAAGCGAGGAGGAGGCUACCGAGAUUAAUACUCUUGGAUAGUGGACGUUACUCGCAGAAUAAGCACCGGCUACCUCUGUGCCAGCAGCCGCGGUAAUACAGAGGGUGCAAGCGUUAAUCGGAUUUACUGGGCGUAAAGCGCGCGUAGGUGGCCAAUUCAGUCAAAUGUGAAAUCCCCGAGCUUAACUUGGGAAUUGCAUUCGAUACUGGUUGGGUAGAGUAUGGGAGAGGAUGGUAGAAUUCCAGGUGUAGCGGUGAAAUGCGUAGAGAUCUGGAGGAAUACCGAUGGCGAAGGCAGCCAUCUGGCCUAAUACUGACACUGAGGUGCGAAAGCAUGGGGAGCAAACAGGAUUAGAAACCCGGGUAGUCC